GGGUAGUAGUUGUAGGCUUAGGGGUUGGGAUUAAAGAGGGAAUGGAGACCGACAAGGUAAAGGUGGACAUGGUUAGGUUAAGGUUUUCUUUCUAGGCGGCAUUGACCUCAGAGUGNGAGAAUAGGAGUCCUAGGGUUCCUCUGUGACAAAUGUAGGGUUCGUUGACGGAGAACACGGGUACCACAACAAGGAGGCCACAACUUGAAGACGACGAUUGGAGGCAGGGACUCCUAGGGUUUGAGCCACGAAGAUGAUCGUUCGNUGAANGAAGAUGAUGGUUACAGAUGAUGGAGGGAAAAAAGCANGAGAAGAAUGGCUCAAUGAGAACACGACUCCAUGNCAGCGAACGCCAGAGAAGAAACUGGAGAACAAUGGUCGAGAGGGAGCAACAAGAGGGAAGAAGGGCUCGAGGACAACUUUCCAACUUUGUUUUUGCUUCUAUUAGGGUUUAAUUUUUUUAAUCUUUUUUAUUAAUUAUUUUACAAUCGGGU
Molecule: long non-coding RNA, 491 nt
Filed under: Vigna radiata
Lineage: Eukaryota; Viridiplantae; Streptophyta; Magnoliopsida; Fabales; Fabaceae
Description: long non-coding RNA (VRAD_LNC017402)
Source: RNAcentral